GCAUGCUGCAUUUGCUCUUUUAACAAAUUGCUAAUAAUCCAACAAGUUCGGUCGCGGUUACAUAAAUUGACAAUCUUCUAUCUCUUAGCAAUCCAUGUGAUCCAGUUCAUCGGAUUUCCAGUCACAGUAAACCAUGAGGCCUAAAAUGAGUAGGUAUUCCAUGGCCCCAACAGUAUGAGUGAUCAAAACACAAUGUCCAUUUAUCAGUUUUAAGCUGUACUGAGGAAUCAAAGUGUGCAACUGCCUAAACAAGACGCAGAAGGAAAGCAUAUUGCACUUUUACCUUUUCUGAUGUGAAGUAAUUGUCCUGCAUAUCAAGGAAUAAAAUGGAAGUGUAGGUAAGAACUUUGUGGCUAAGAAAAUUCAUCCAACAUGGCUUGGAUGUCCACUUUUAGGUCCUUUUUGAUCAUUGAGUACUUUUAAUAUCCUAUUCUGCACUGCUAUUCGUUGGGCAGAAGAACUUUUAUGCACCUCACAACUCACUAGCAAAAGAAAAGAAUGAGCAUCAAUGUGUCAUGGCCAAUAUUAUUCGUGCCAGAAUAAAGGACAAACAAGUGAGAUUGUUUGAGAUAUUCCUGAUCCAGACAACAGGAUAUU
RNAcentral lists this unclassified non-coding RNA (597 nucleotides) under Hevea brasiliensis (rubber tree). The record is from RNAcentral. Lineage: Eukaryota; Viridiplantae; Streptophyta; Magnoliopsida; Malpighiales; Euphorbiaceae.